GCCUCCAGCACUUCCAGGUAAAGCACCCUAAUUACAAUUAUAAAUAAGGUGUACAUGUGUGUGCAUGUGUGUGUGCACAUACUGUACAUUCAAGAUAAUAGAAUCCUCCUGGAGAAAAGCAAUGUUUAACAAUGGGAUGCGUUAUCCCUUUGACUUGGACAUAACAAACAAACAACAACAAAAACCCUACUACUGUCUGAGGGUUGUGCAGUAGAGAGGCAGCAAACAGUUCCUGGUGCUCACACCACUCAGAUGCCCAGUCUCUUCUCUACUGUCUGCAUGUGGAUUAGAGGCGCGAUACUUCAAAUCCUGGUUCGGUCUCUCCUCCCUGCUCAGCGAGUUCCCAAGCCACAUCUCCAGAGAUCAGAUGACAAAAAAGCACCAUUAGAAAGACAACGUGCUUCCGGAUCCAUUCAACCUCAGCAAAGGAAAACCGAGCAUCCUUUCUUUAAAAUGUGUUAUUCGAUACACUGCUUUCCCGGCUCCCCCAGCAAUAAUUUUACUUUAUCAUUAAGAGCCCCGCAGGAAAUCCUGCCCAGGUGGGGCUGAGUGGGGUAAAGAAGGAAUGGAAAGAAGGAAAGAAGGAAGGGAGAGAGGAAGAAAAAAGAUAAACUUCACCGUUCAGCGGGGCUGGGCUGCAAGGCUGCUGAUUCAAGAUCACCAGCAGGAGGACAGUCGCGGCACGCAGGCUAUAGUGGGGCAUCUUCUGCUCCUGGCCGGUGGCUCCUGGCUCCCGGUCGGCAGCUGGCAACAGCCACUUGCUUUCGGACAGCACAGCGCAGCGCUCGCAGCCAGCGGGGCGCGCACCAGGACCGCGCGCGCGUAGCCGGGAGCCGUGGCUAGCACGUCUGCUUUUCGGGCUCCUGGCUCCCCGCGGCCGUUUUUAUGGAGCAACUCAACCCCAAACACAUGAUGUCAUCGUGCGGGGAGAAAAAGAACGCCCAGCCUACCGAAGGGCUCGGGCCGCAGGUCCGAGCUGUGUCCUCAACAGAUUGGAUGAUGCCUACCUACCAUGGUACUCAUUAACUUGCCCAGGCUGGCCUCAAACUUGCAAUCCUCCUGUCUAAGCCUCCCAAGUCACUGGGCCUACAGGCUGCUUGUUCUCACUCCACGAGGAGGGGCCCAGCUAGAGGAAGACCUGAGCAGAGGAUCCUAUAAAGCAGAGGAAACAAGACAAGGCCAUCAACUGCCCUGAUCUAAGGGCGAUGCAGCCUCUGUGUUUAUUCCUGCCUGUCAAUGCCAUAUCAGCUGGGAAGUUCAGGGCAGAAGAUUUGGUUACCCUGGGGUCAGUAAAGGAUCUUAAGGUGGAAUUCAGAGGACCCAAUGCCUUCCCCACCUUAAAAAAAAAAGAAAAGAAAAAAAAUUCCUCUAAUACUAAAACCUUGUCUGUUAUAUGUUUUGUUCAAGAAAAAAAAAAGUUACCCUAAGACUGGAAUGCCUCCAUUUUUACUGUACAUUAAUAAGGCAACAUUCAGUUGGAAAAUAUCAAAGCAACUUGGAACAGACAAAUCAGGGACAAGAAAGUCUCUCUGUGUUCAGGGGUUGGAGAGAGAGAGAGAGAGAGAGAGAGAGAGAGAAAUGAUGUUGAGGUCAGAUGUCCCUGCUGUCUGAGGAUGCAGUCCCUUCCUCUGAGGAUGCAGCCUCCCUCCCUGGGGAAGGCAGAACGAGGACUGCUUCAUGCAGGGGCAAGGUGAGCUCUGGGUGUGCGAUAUCAAAGACCCGAAUGAACAAAUCAGAUAUUGGGCUUCUAAGGUCCAGACUUUCCAAGAGAAAAUAAGCCCUGGCAUUUUCAGGAGAUCCAACAUGCAGACAUGGCAGGGAGUUAAGAGUUUUCUAAACCUAGCCGCCUCAAAGCAGUGAGCCAAACCUGUCAGUGAGAAAAUGAGGACGGAGUUUCAAAAAGAGAAGGGAAACUCAUUUAAACUAGCUACAGGCAAUCGUGUUUGAUGCUAGAUGUGUGCUUUCUAAGAAGUCUGUGCAUCCAUGCUAAAUAGGAGGAAAGUACUUGAUUCAGGGCUUCUCAAAGUUUCUAAUGAAGGACCUCUAAUGACAGAGCCCAGGACCUUGCACUGAGGAGCCUGGGGUUAUGGUCUCAAAGUUACCCUGAAAAAAUGGAUAAAUAAUUCUAAGUUUUGCAUUUUUUUUUCAAAGUGUAAGUAGUUGUGCAUUUGCUUCCAUUAAAAUCCUCAUUUGAUGAAAAGCUUAGGGUUGCAGAGUCAUUUGGGUCAUUAGGUGUGAAGCUUCUGCUUAGAAAGGGAAGUCUGAAGCAGGGAAGUGAGCCAAAUUCUGGCCAGAUAUGGUGACUGAUGAAUCGCCUAAAAGACUAGCUUCUGUCAGGACACAUGGGGACAGAAAUUGCUGGUGUCGGAUGUGAAAGUUUCUGCUUUUGAGCUGUAACUCAAAAGGCUUGUUUGCCUAAAGCCUCAGCCAGGUCUUGUACCCCUGCUUGCCUUGUCUGAGAAAUGCCCUAGAGUCAGAGAGGUCUGAGUCUACCCUUGUGGGAAAAGGGGAAGAAUUUUCUAGAAGCCCAGCAGUGACCAACAGGAAGGAAGAGACCAUCACCUGGCAAACAAGCUACACAUCACCUGGAAAUAGAAACCUGGCACCCAGAAUCCUGAGAAGGAGGCAAAGCUUUUAGAAUUAGGUGAGAUGGGAGAGUGGUGCAUGUUCUAGAGUUUGGAUCUUGAAUGUCCCCCAAAGACCCACUCAGUCUCCUAAAGUGGCACCACCAUGAAGUGGUGAAGUAUUUAGGAGGUGGGGCCUAGAGGAAGGAAGUUAGGUGGUUGGGGGCGUGCCUUUAAAGGAGUUAUUGGGACCUCAGUCUCUUCUUUCUUCCUCUUCCCAGCCACCAUGAGGAGAGCAGCUUCACUCUACCACAUGCUCCCUGCCAUGAAACCUUACCACAGUUCUGAAAGCAACAGAGCCAAGGGACUAUGGACUGAAAUCUCUGGUCAUGAGCCAAAAUAAACCUUUCCUCCUAUUAAGUUGAUUAUCUCAGGUAUUUUUGUUAAAGUGACAAAAAUCUGACUAACAUAUAUCAAGGCUGCCAUCAGUAAAUAGGGUGCUGUCAUGCAAACUACAAAAAGAGAGGGCCCCUCUGAGCACUCCUCCCCCCAGUACUACACCUGUUACUUGGCUGCUUUCAACACCCACUUGUCACCUUGCUUAUGUGCCUGCACAUAUUGCACAAAAUGUAAUUAUAGAACAGUACUGGUUGAAUGUUAAAGAAAAGGUUGAUCCUUAAGAGAACUUGUAAACACUUGGGUUCCAAAAAUAACAUUUCCCAUAAACCUAGUAAAAUUUGUGCUGUAGCUCAAGGACUCAGCAAGCUCCAGCCAGCAGACUAAAUCUAGCUUAGCACCUGGCUUCAUAUAUAAAGUUUUAUUGGUAUGCAGCUGUGCUCACUCACUUAGAUAUUGUUGUGGCUGCUUUCCCACUGCCAUGGCCAUGGUGCAUAUAGGUGCUACAGAAACCAUCAAACCUGCAAAGGCUAAGAUUUUUAGCUUCUGUCCCCUUAUAAAAAGUUUGCCAGGGGCUGGAAUUGUGGCUCAGCGGUAGAGCACUCGCCUAGGACUGCAGGACCCGGGUUUGAUUCUCAGCACCACAAAAAAAUAAAGGCAUUGUAUUGUGUCCAUCUACAAAAAAAAAAGAUUCAUUUUCUCUCUCUGUGGCUUUUGCAUACCUGUUGGCCCACUGCUGAGUGCCUCUAGAAAAUAAAAGAGCAAUAAUCCAGUUUGAAAAGCCCAGUCUCUACCUAUUAUAUAUAGAGGGCCUAUCCUCCUCCAGUCUGACCCCAUUUUUAGUUACAUCUGCAAACAAAUCACAUCUUACUAAAACUAUUCUUAAGAAGUGACUUGAGCAGAUCUCAAGAUUACCCAGUAGAGCUCCCUUACAUUAGUGAAGCACUUUAGAGCAUAAAACAUCUUUUUCUCAUUCCCCACUGCAAGUUUUGUAACAAACACAAACAAAUGUCUGGGGCUGCCACAAACAAACGUCUGAGGCUACUAAAAACCAGGAGAGACAAGAAAGGAUCCUCCCCUACAAGCUCCCAAGGAAUCUUGACCCUGCCAGUACUUUGAUUUUUAUCUUCUGACCUACAGAAUGCAGCACAUCAUGAGCUAUAUCCCUCGCUCUUUUUGUUUUUUACUUUGAGAGGUGGUCUCACAGAGUUGCCAAGGGGGAUCUCUAAUUUACAAUCCUCUUGCCUCUGCCUCCAGAGUAGCUGGGAUUACACAUGUGUACCAUCACACCUGGUUUAUUAAUUUUUUUUAAAGGUGAAUUUAAAGUGUUUUGAAGACAGUACAAUAUUAGUCACCUUUGCAUCAUCAAAACAAAAUAAUGGAUAUGACUAUGAAAUGAAGAGAAUAUAAUUUUGGCUCAUAGACUAUGAAAUGAAGAGAAUAUAAUUUUUGCUCACAUUUCUAGAGGUCUGAUCCAAAUCAGGCAGCACCAUUGCUUUGGGACUUUGAUAAGGACAGCACAUCAUGGCAGGGGUAUGUGUCAGAGCAAGCCAUCCCAUUCCAAGCCUGGAACAGAGGGAGAUGGAGAGACUAAAGUCUCACAAUCCCCUUCAAGGACACACAUCCAAGGACCUAAGGACCUCCCACUAGGCUCCACCUCUUUAAGGUCCACAGUGCCUCUCUGAAGACCAAGAUUUUAUAGAAGGAUGUUUGGAGAGCAAUUACCAAAUCACAGCAAAGCCCAGGAGGGCCUAAGUCUCCAAGAAGGACAAGACCGGUGCAGAAGGACUUGUAUAGACUCAGCCUGAUGAUCAGAUAACAGAUGAGGAAUGUGGAUGUUCCAGAAGCUGCCAGCAUAUUCUGGACCAAAGGCUAGUCAAGAUGGUUUAUAUUUUAGGGAAUAAAAAGAGCAGGAGUCUGUCUUCCUAUGGAAAUGACAAUUAGGCAAUCAUAGGCUGAGAACUCUCCAGGGAGGGUACAAAGGAAGGACUGACUUGAGCAAACUUAAAACUGAAAUGACCGGGAAGCACAUUCAAAUGCCUGGAUCUGCCUGGAAUUGACUAUUUUGUUGUUGUUGUUGUUGUUAUUUGAAUCUAGCCAGGAGUCAAAAUAGGAGUUCAAUGUUUAAAUUAUGGCCUAGUAUGGUGGUGCACACCUGAAAUUCAAGCUACUUGGGAGGCUAAGGCUGGAGGAUCACAAGCUGAAGGCUGGCUUUAGCAACUUAAUGAGAUUCUGCCUCAAAAUAAAAAAAUAAAAAGGGCUGGGGGUGUCUUUCAGUGAUGAAAGGCCUUAGACUCAAUCUCCAAUACUGAAAAAAAAAGUUAAAUUACAGGAAAAAAAUUAGAUUUAGGGGGCAAAUACCCAAGGUUAUAGCCUGGGAAAUAUUACACUCUAACGUAUAAGAUUUGGCUUAGUCCUCUCAACCACACCUACAAGAUCAGUAUCAUCCCCAUUUUACAAAAGGGAAAAUCAAGUUCUAGAGAAUUUCAAUGACUUACUAUUAUACAACUUCUCAGUGGUAGAGCUGGGAUUUAAAUCUAGGUGCAUCUAGACUCCAAAGCUGAUGUUUCUUCAAGACUCCAAAUUCCCUUUUGAUCAGGGUUUGUUUCAGCAUUUCUAGAGAAGUCCACACAUCUAUGAUUGGUUUUUCAGGACCAGAUUAUGCUCCUGGAUUGAGGAUAACAGUCAGAAAGGGGAGAAAUUGGAGAAAUUUAAAGAAUCUCUGUCUCCCUUCUGAAAGAAGGGCCUCUUUUCUAACUGGUUCCCUCUCCCUUCAACAUGAUCUCCCACUCCACUCUUAUUCCAGCCAACCUGCAUUUUGGGGAACCUGAUUCAAAAUGGUUUGAGUUGACAGGAUGGCCACACUUCAUGCAACAGGUUGUCUGCUGUUCCUAGAAUUUGCUGAAGAGACGAUGAUGAUCUGGAUGUGCCUCAAUGGUAAUUUUCCUUGAAGGUGAAUGACAGAUAAGGUCUUAGUCAUUCUCCUAAUUUAUGAUGGAUUAUAUCAUUUCUUUAUAUUUCAACCUUCUAUGCUUGAGUCACUCAGACAUGUCUCUAGGACUAGACUCAAAAGCAAGUCUCCUCUUAGUCACAGGCUGUUCUCUCAGCUUGACUUCAAAUCCAAAGGUUCUGCUCCUGAUCAGUUCUGUGGCAAAAAUGUAUAGAUGGCUUAUAUAAAAAUAAAAAGGAUGACUGAGACCAUGGAAACUGGAUAUCUUUGACCUAAUUAUGGUUAUUAAUAGGAGGACUUUGUGUUUGCCAAACAUUUCCUUUCCCUCAUUCUCCAGAGGCUGUGAGUUCAUCUUCUCUGUCUCCAUGUUUUGGUCUAUUAUCUUGCCCUGCAGGAGCCUUAACUCAUUGUCACUUGCCCCAUUCCUGUACCUUCUGUUCCAAAUGAAUGGAUCUUCAUGGGCUGAUUAUCUAUAUUUUUGUUCUAUUAAUUCUUUAGAGAGGAAUUUUAAAAUCUCAAACUAUAAUUGUGGAUUUUUCUAUAACUCCUUGUACUUCUAUCAGUUUUCAAUUCAUGUAUUUUGGGUUUUUUUAAUAUUUAUUUUUUAGGUGUAGAUGGACACAACACAAUGUCUUUAUUUUUAUGUGGUGCUGAGGAUCAAACCCGGGUCCCGCCUGUGCUAGGCAAGCGCUCUACCACUGAGCCAUAAUCCCAGCCCCAACUUCAUGUAUUUUGAAUAAGUUGUGAGGUGUAUAAAUAAUUAGAAUUAUUAUGUCAUCUUGAUGAGUUGACCCCUUGUCAUUAUGAAAUUACCCUCUUUAUCCAUAGUAAUAUUCUUUGCUCUAAAAUCUUCUUUACUUGGUAUUAAUGUAACCACUUCAGUUUUCUUUUGACCAGCAUUAGCAUUGUAGAUCUUCUCAUCCCUUUACUUCUAACAUAUUUGUGUUUUUUUUGUUUAAAAUGGAUUUCUUGUAGAUGACACAUAAUUGAACUUUUAAAAAUUCAACAUGGCAAUAUCUGCUUUAAUUUAAUUCAUUUACACUUAUUGUGAUUAUUGAUAUGGUUGGCUUUUUUGGAGUACCAGGGAUUGAACUCAGGGGCACUAGACCACUGAGCCACAUCCCCAGUUCUAUUUUGUAUUUUAUUUGGAGACAGGGUCUCAAUGAGUUGCUUAGCACCUUGCUUUUACUGAGGCUGACUUUGAUUUUGGAUCUUCUUGCCUCAGCCUCCUGAGCCACUGGGAUUAUAGGCAUGCACCACUGCGCCCGGGUGAUAUGGUUGGCUUUUAAUCUGUUAUUUUGCUAUGUGCUUUCUUUUUUCCUAUCUUGUGUGCAUGAGUGUGUGGGCGUGUGUGUGUGUGUGUGUGUGUGUGUGUGUAUGUGUGGUACUAGGGAUUGAACCCAAGGCCUUGCACAUACAACCACUGCACUAAAUCCCCAAUCCUUUUUAUUCUUAUUUUGAGACAGGAUCUUACUAAGUUGUCCAAGCUGGCUUUGAACGUGGAAUCCUCCUGUUUCAGCCUCCCAAGUAGCUCAGAUUACAAGUGUGCACCACCUAACCAGGACUUCUUAUCUAUUGAUAAUCAUUUUUCUUUGUUGUUAUUUCUGUUUUUUAACUAGGUGGGUAUUUUUCAUGAUUAUCUCUUUCUAGAGAACCUGGCCUGAGAUGAUUAUAAAGCAAAUGACCAAGGGGGGCAACUAACUGGAGCUUAAUCCCACUAGAAAACCUGAGGAAGCGUGUAGAGCAAUGCCUCAGAAUUAUCUUCUCCAGGGAGCAGGGGAGCUGUAUAUGUAUCCAACAACUCCCAUCCAGUCUUUGGUGAGGAAUGUUAAAUCCCAGCCUUUUGGGCCUGCCCCAGAUGACAAUAGAGCAUCUCCACCUGUCAAAGAGCAGUGUAGAGCCAGGCCUGUGAGAGGGAGAGGAUGAGUGCUAAGAAGAUAUAUGUGGGUGAGACACCAAGAGGAAGCACAGAACAGAAUGGUGAACAGCAGUAAAAAUGGAUGAACUAUUGGCAUCAAUAUGGAUCAAUCUCACCCAAACAAUAUUGAAUAAAACAAGCAAGUUGUAAAAGAAUAUAAAUGAUGAGCAUAGUAUAAAUCAUAGAAAAAAAUGAAUCAUGCAAAACAAGAAUAAAUCUGAGAGAGAGAGAGUAGAAAAACAUGAUGAACAGUAAAUUUAGGAGAGUCAUAACCACCAACAAAGAGGGAGGAAUGGGAACAGUUUGGAGUACACAUAGGAGGCCUUUCCUGUAUUUUAAAUGUUUUAUUUUUCUAUACUGAGUAGAAAGUACACAAAUGACCAGACCAUUUUAUUAUAUUCUGGAAUUUUUUUUGUAUGCUUAAAACUUUUCAAAAUAAAAAUGGUAAUGAACAAGAAAAAUCUUAUUAAAGGAGUCCAAAUGAUCUGAAAGAAAUGGGUACAGGCCAUUAGGAAGAAAAUUAAUUGUUUUGCUUUGCUUUUAACUAAAACUAGCAUGAAAGGGGUACAAGAAAAUGUAAUCAGAGAGAAAGAGAGAGAAACAAUAGGAGCUACAACCAGAGUUGAAAUACUUUCAACUUCGCAUUUUUCUUAUUCUUUGAGUUUUUAAACUCAAUCAGGCACUGUUUUUGUUUGUUUUAAUUCCAGCCACUGCUUUUAAAAAAAAUAAAAACAUCUGUAAUUUCAUUGAUCUAACACUACUAUUUCCAUUUUCACUAAUUCCUUUCUGAACUUAACCCACAUGCCAACAUUCUUUGCUUAGUUCCAAUUAUAUUGCAUUUGUAUUUAAUACUUCGCUUUUUUAUACUCAUUCAUAUAUACU
Marmota monax (woodchuck) is the source of this 8710-nucleotide long non-coding RNA. RefSeq lists it as uncharacterized. The transcript has 4 exons. NCBI's taxonomy places the organism in Eukaryota, Metazoa, Chordata, Mammalia, Rodentia, Sciuridae. The record is from RefSeq and is a predicted model, not a curated record.